ACAAAGAAACCAUGAAACUCAGGAUGGAUAGCGUUAUAGAUCUACCUUCACGAUCACAACCCUUGUCCACCAGCACCAGCACCACCACCAAAGACGGUGGCUGGCCGAGAGUUAUAUAUGAUCGUUUAUCAAUGGCGCUAUCCCUCCUGAGCUUUACAGAUUCUCCAU
This 168-nucleotide microRNA precursor is filed under the name Olea europaea subsp. europaea. Lineage: Eukaryota; Viridiplantae; Streptophyta; Magnoliopsida; Lamiales; Oleaceae. The record is from RNAcentral.